RNAcentral lists this ribosomal RNA (253 nucleotides) under uncultured bacterium. RNAcentral describes it as "partial 16S ribosomal RNA". It matches the Rfam family "Bacterial small subunit ribosomal RNA", at positions 524 to 776 of the family's 1533-position model. The record is from RNAcentral.
UACGUAGGGUGCAAGCGUUGUCCGGAAUUAUUGGGCGUAAAGAGCUCGUAGGCGGUUUGUCGCGUCUGCUGUGAAAACUCGGGGCUUAACCCCGGGCCUGCAGUGGGUACGGGCAGACUAGAGUACGGUAGGGGAGACUGGAAUUCCUGGUGUAGCGGUGAAAUGCGCAGAUAUCAGGAGGAACACCGGUGGCGAAGGCGGGUCUCUGGGCCGAUAUUGACGCUGAGGAGCGAAAGCGUGGGGAGCGAACAGG